UACGUAUUCAACUUUUUAAUUAGGGUUCCAGAAAAAGUAGGGUUCAGUAAACUGUAGUCUUGGCCCCAAUAAUUUACUAGGGAUUGAUGAAAAAAAUUAAAUUAAAAUUCGUAAAAAAACCCUAAAUUCUCCCAUAAAUAGACACCUUCUCUUCCCUUAACCCUGCAACAAUUUUCUCUCUAACCUUAGCCUCUUCAUAUUCUGCACAUCUUUCUCUUAGUGCUGAAUUAGGGUUCUGAUUUUGUCAUGAAUUUCCAUGACAUUAUUUUUAAUAUAUAGUCCUGUGGGGCAAUUUGAGUCUUUCAAUAUCAUGACCCUCUUUGUAUUCUUCCACAGCUUUCUUGAACUGCAGCAUCUAAAAGGUUCCUUUGCAUGCAUACCAUACCUUGUCUUGCGGUUCAAUAAAGCUGUGGGAAGAUACAGAUA
Lupinus albus (white lupine) is the source of this 426-nucleotide non-coding RNA. NCBI's taxonomy places the organism in Eukaryota, Viridiplantae, Streptophyta, Magnoliopsida, Fabales, Fabaceae. The record is from the annotation of a GenBank genome assembly.